UGACCUCGAAUCAGGUAGGAAUACCCGCUGAACUUAAGCAUAUCAAUAAGCGGAGGAAAAGAAACCAACAGGGAUUGCCCCAGUAACGGCGAGUGAAGCGGCAACAGCUCAAAUUUGAAAUCUGGCUCUCGGGCCCGAGUUGUAAUUUGUAGAGGAUGCUUUUGGUGAGGUGCCUUCCGAGUUCCCUGGAACGGGACGCCAUAGAGGGUGAGAGCCCCGUCUGGUUGGACGCCGAACCUCUGUAAAGCUCCUUCGACGAGUCGAGUAGUUUGGGAAUGCUGCUCUAAAUGGGAGGUAUAUGUCUUCUAAAGCUAAAUACCGGCCAGAGACCGAUAGCGCACAAGUAGAGUGAUCGAAAGAUGAAAAGAACUUUGAAAAGAGAGUUAAACAGUACGUGAAAUUGUUGAAAGGGAAGCGCUUGUGACCAGACUUGGGCUUGGUUGAUCAUCCGGGGUUCUCCCCGGUGCACUCUUCCGGCCCAGGCCAGCAUCAGUUCGCCCUGGGGGACAAAGGCUUCGGGAACGUGGCUCUCUCCGGGGAGUGUUAUAGCCCGUUGCGUAAUACCCUGUGGCGGACUGAGGUUCGCGCAUUCGCAAGGAUGCUGGCGUAAUGGUCAUCAGUGACCCGUCUUGAAACACGGACCAAGGAGUCGUCUUCGUAUGCGAGUGUUCGGGUGUCAAACCCCUACGCGAAAUGAAAGUGAACGCAGGUGAGAGCUUCGGCGCAUCAUCGACCGAUCCUGAUGUUAUCGGAUGGAUUUGAGUAAGAGCAUACGGGGCCGGACCCGAAAGAAGGUGAACUAUGCCUGUGUAGGGUGAAGCCAGAGGAAACUCUGGUGGAGGCUCGCAGCGGUUCUGACGUGCAAAUCGAUCGUCAAACAUGGGCAUGGGGGCGAAAGACUAAUCGAACCUUCUAGUAGCUGGUUUCCGCCGAAGUUUCCCUCAGG
This 946-nucleotide ribosomal RNA is filed under the name Fusarium solani. Its description in RNAcentral is "partial large subunit ribosomal RNA". It matches the Rfam family "Eukaryotic large subunit ribosomal RNA", at positions 1 to 977 of the family's 3401-position model. Lineage: Eukaryota; Fungi; Ascomycota; Sordariomycetes; Hypocreales; Nectriaceae. The record is from RNAcentral.